RNAcentral lists this microRNA precursor (112 nucleotides) under Marmota monax (woodchuck). Lineage: Eukaryota; Metazoa; Chordata; Mammalia; Rodentia; Sciuridae. The record is from RNAcentral.
AAUACACUUGCUGGGUCAUAUGGUAAGCAUAUGUCUGGUUUUUUUUUUAUUUUAAAGAAAUUACCAAACUGUUUUUAGAGUGGCUGUACCGUUUUAUUUUCCCACUAACAGU